CGCGAGCUGGGUUCAGAACGUCGUGAGACAGUUCGGUCCCUAUCCGUCGUGGGCGUAGGAAAUUUGAGAGGAGCUGUCCUUAGUACGAGAGGACCGGGAUGGACAUACCUCUGGUGUACCAGUUGUCGUGCCAACGGCAUAGCUGGGUAGCUAUGUGUGGACGGGAUAAGUGCUGAAAGCAUCUAAGCAUGAAGCCCCCCUCAAGAUGAGAUUUCCCAACUUCGGUUAUAAGAUCCCUUAAAGAUGAUGAGGUUAAUAGGUUCGAGGUGGAAGCAUGGUGACAUGUGUAGCUGACGAAUACUAAUCGAUCGAAGACUUAAUCAAAA
RNAcentral lists this ribosomal RNA (326 nucleotides) under Staphylococcus aureus. RNAcentral's name for it is "partial 23S ribosomal RNA". It matches the Rfam family "Bacterial large subunit ribosomal RNA", at positions 2599 to 2925 of the family's 2925-position model. Lineage: Bacteria; Bacillati; Bacillota; Bacilli; Caryophanales; Staphylococcaceae. The record is from RNAcentral.